CUACGGGAUGCACCAGUGGGGAAUAUUGGACAAUGGGCGAAAGCCUGAUCCAGCAAUGCCGCGUGAGUGAUGAAGGCCUUAGGGUUGUAAAGCUCUUUUACCCGGGAUGAUAAUGACAGUACCGGGAGAAUAAGCUCCGGCUAACUCCGUGCCAGCAGCCGCGGUAAUACGGAGGGAGCUAGCGUUAUUCGGAAUUACUGGGCGUAAAGCGCACGUAGGCGGCUUUGUAAGUAAGAGGUGAAAGCCCAGAGCUCAACUCUGGAAUUGCCUUUUAGACUGCAUCGCUUGAAUCAUGGAGAGGUCAGUGGAAUUCCGAGUGUAGAGGUGAAAUUCGUAGAUAUUCGGAAGAACACCAGUGGCGAAGGCGGCUGACUGGACAUGUAUUGACGCUGAGGUGCGAAAGCGUGGGGAGCAAACAGGAUUAGAUACCCCAGUAGUC
Molecule: ribosomal RNA, 439 nt
Filed under: uncultured bacterium
Lineage: Bacteria
Description: partial 16S ribosomal RNA
Rfam family: Bacterial small subunit ribosomal RNA
Source: RNAcentral